CCAGAUCUCUGGUGGAAAUACACAGAAUAAUUAAUCUCUAUUUGUUGCAUGACAGAGCAUAAAGCUAUGUUACCACUGGGAUGGCAGCUGGUCUUUUUUUUUAAUUUGCCACUUAGGCACUUUUAAUCAGUGAUUUUUCUCCCCCUACCACAUACUUUUAUGAGCUGAAUGACUACUGGCUAUUACAGCCUGUGAGUAUGGCUUAAAUUCUCAUUCCUGACAAAAAGAGAGACAGAACCAGACUAGAUGCAUGGGAACUGCCCAUUAAUAUUGCAAAAUAUGUAGGCCUUCUUGAUGAAAUAAUCCAUUCAAUAAGAGUGUCAUUGCUUACUGAAAGCUGCUUAACACCUUAACAACUGUUGCCUUCAUCUGAGAGACCAGUAGCAUCCCUGAAUCUGAUCCUGCAGAUGACAAGCACUUGCAGAUUUUACAAAGGGAAAUUCUCCAGGAUUUUUAUGUGGUGGAACUACAUGGCUCUUUCACAUGGAAAAUGGAAGCACUGUGACAACACUGGUAAUUGAGGAGAGGAUAUCAAAACACUGCUUUGUGUGUAGUACUGGGAAUAAGUGGAAAAACAACAGCUCAAACCCACUGUUGUUUACCACAGAGAAAAUGUUUUACAAUUUUCAUGUCUCUUAAGAAGCACUAUAACAUGAUAUUUUGAGGUAAAUUUGGUUUCAUUUCAUAGCUGAACCACUUGUUUUUUUAAUUCAUAUCAUCCUUAUGGAGCAAAUUCUACCUACUUUCAUUGAAGGAUUUUGGUGCUAACUUUCUCUUAUACAAGUGAUACUGUGUGAAAUGUGCCAACAGCUAAGCUAGCUAAGUGUGAGUGUUAGGAGAGAUACCCAGACCAAAAAGGAGUAGGCUCAACCUGGACUAGUUAAGAUAGUAGUUCAUUUCCCCUUCUUCCUCCUCUUACCCAUUUUUUGGAGUCUGUUGGAGAUAGCUGCUUCCUUCUUCACACCAUCCCUUUACCUUCCUUCCUUAUGGUUUUGGCUAUGGGUGAAGGAUGAUGUGAGAAGAUGUGAGAAGGCUGCACAUGACGUGUGAGGCCCAAGUGCUGCCACCACUGUGCUUAGCUUAAUGAAGCACAAGAAUCUUUUUGUCUGCACACAAAACAGUAGGUCUCUUUCUCCCUGUCCUGGAGGGGCUUACUAUCAUAUCUGUUCUUGCUUGCAGAUUAAUUUUCCAGAACAAAAUUAAGUAGAAUCAUCAGAUAAAACUGUGGUGCUCACUGACCCUGGGCUGCUAAUCCAGAAAGCACCUUUCUUUUCUAUAAUACAACUGCCUUCUGCAUGCAUCUCUCAUGAUUUCUCAAUCUUUUAUAAGAAAUGCAUGGCCUCUUCCCAGCUGGGCCUGGUAUAUCCUGUGGUUUAUAAAAGAUGACAUACUAUCUAACAGAGAGAAAAACUGAUACGUAUGGAAAAUAGCUAGAAAAAUCCUGCAGGGUAGUUUGGGCUUCACUAUUGCUUGAGAAUAACCUUACAAACAAGUUUCAGGGUCUUCAUUUAGGGUUUUUGGGUAUCCUGAUUUGCAUGCACACCUUAUCUGCAGUAAAAUUGGGAUUUUAUAAAUUUCUGUAUUAUUUGGAGAUACACCAGGUGCUCUCUAUUAUGUUCUGCACUAACUGGAACAGUCAGCAGUAAUCCUGUUGCGAAUGAUUUUUUAGCUGCAAUACAUCACUGACACAUGCAGACUUUAAAAAAAAUUCCAGGGUACAUUUGCAAAGAAAUGCAGGCUUGUAUUUUAGAGCAUCUAUUUCUGACAACACAUAACUCUGAAAUAGCAAACAGUAUUCCCUAAAUAAGGCAUGGCUGGGACUCACAACCCUAGCAAGCCUGGCAGAGCUUUCUGUAAUCUAGACAGUUCAAAAUGUUACAAGGAGAGAAGUAAAGGGCACAGAAGUGCUCUGGGCUGCAGGGAAGCACUGCCUUCCACUUGGGACUCGUAGCCAUGGCUCUUCUAGUGGUAGAUGUCUGAUGAGGUCAGUCUUUUCUCGUACAAGCUGUGGACAAGAGGAUGAUGGACGUUAUUCAUCUCCCUCAACCUCACUGAGGCAUCGUUCACCCCAGGGCCAGAUCACUCAUCAAGAGUGCGGAAGACCUGACUUCUCCCUUUGCCUGAUUUCAUCUGAAAGUAGAUGCUUUUGUGCCUCACAGGGAUAAUGGCACUUCUCAAAGGAUUUCAUGUUUCACAGGAGCACUUGAUAGAGGUAUCUACAUCUUGCUAACAAUGCUAUAAGAGCAUGCAUUACCCUGGAAGCUCAACAUGCACCUACAUAAACUUCAAAAUAAACUGGAAGACUAGAAAGAGUGAAUCUAAUUUGAAGCAUAGUGUCUACUUGUUUUUUUGUCUAAAACUUCUGGACUUAGCUGAAUUUUCUGUUUGUUUUUGUUUGUUUGUUUGUUUUGUUUUGUUAACAAUAUACCUGACAGCAAUACAGCAUAAAGCACAGAGUAAAUAUUCUCUCUGUUCAGUGGUCAGGGAUUUUCCAUCUCAUCCAUCUUUUACAACUGUAGCAAAGGCUGUGCAAACAGAGUAUGCAUCAACCCAUAUUCCAACAGUCUGUAGAGAAAGGGGUUUUUUUGUAUAUGUGAGAUACACUAGGCACAAAACUCUACUACAUCACAAACACGUUUUAUACAAAGAAACUCUAUCUGGAUUAGUUUUACUGCUUGAAGUCAUCUUUGGUAACAUAGGACAUGGAAUUUGUAGCUCUAUUAGACAAGACUCUUUUUGACUGAAGAACAUAGGGGAAAGAGAAAAUAGACUCUUUUUGACUGAAGAACAUAGGGGAAAGAGAAAAUAGAAUUUUAAUGAUCCACAGCACCUGCAUGUUUUUGUAUAUAUAACAAGGCUAUCGCUCUUUAGUCCCAAGAAAUUUAAUGGUUCUACUGAAUCUCUAGCUCUGGGAUACAUGAGAAUGCUAGAAGGAAACAUAAUUUGAACUGGAAAAGUAAGUUUCUAGUAUUAUAGAGAAAAACCUGCAAAUAUAAUGAAGAAAACCCCUAACAGGAGAAUAUCUCAAACCAAAAUACUGCUUAUUUUAAGGAAAUUAUCAUGCUUCUAAGCUCAUCCAGGAUUCUGACUCAUUACUUUAGGAUGUUGUUAUCAAUGCUGAUAAGGGCAGAAUUUCAUCUUGUAAUAAAUAAAAUGCUUCAAGAAUAACUUAAUAGACGUGAAAGUACAUUAGAAUAUGAUCAUUUUCACAGUGCUUAUGCUUCUCUGCAAAGUUAAAGCCUGGAUGUUUAGGUCAGGCUGUGUAAUAUUCUGUUGUUGUUGUUGUUGGUUUGGGAGAGUCUUAGUUGUGUUUCCUGCCAUAGCUAAAGCAAGCUUUAUUCACAUCAGCUUUGUUCCAUACUGGUCACUAUUCCAGGUCAUUACAAAAAAAGGUCUGUUUCAUCCUGUUUAAGGGCUUAAUCCUGCUUCAGAAAUGGAUUUUUGUUGUUCUUUGGUAAAACUUGGUUCUGGUUGUCUCUUUUCCUGCUUACCUAAUAUGAAAGUAAUCUUAACUGUUAUCUAUAGUAUACAUACUAUCAGUUCUCCUAUUGGUCCAAUAUAAAGUAAGUUACAUUAGUAGAACAAAGGAAGAACCUAUAGGACAUAAAUUUUCGACAAAUUAGCCUUAAAAGAUUAGGGCUAUAUUUCACAUUGUCAUGAAGUGUAGUUUUAAAAGAAAUUAUAAGGGGUAAUUCGACUUUGUUCUUCUAAUUUCCAUAGCACUCCACUGACUUGCACUUGCAAAAGAUCCCUUCUGUUGCCUUUGGCAUGAAUUUAGUAAUAUUUCCUUUGGAUCAAAUUCAUAAGGAUAUAAACCUCUAUUUGAGGCAAUGUAAUUUCCAAUACAAUAGCUUUUAGAAAGGAGUUGAAAUGCCUUUUAGAAAAGGCUCACCAAAGUUUGAAUAGCUUAAAAAAUUCGCCACUUCCCUAUUUAACUUGAACUAAUGUGGUGGUCUGUCCUUUCCAUUAAAAAAAAAAUCUUUUCAGGAUCAAACUUUAAAACCAAAGCAAAAAUCAUUGUUUGUUUCACUACACACAUAGGGAUAACUGGGUCCGUUCUUAUCUGCUUUCAUGCCCAAACUGAAAUAUCGAUGUUCUUUGUCAAGAAACAACAUGUUUUACGGUUGCUGCAUGGAAGGUGGUUAAUGAGCCUUAGAGAUGCCAGGUUUAAAUCAAAAUAGAUCAGUCAGCCUUACAGUUAGGUGGUUAAAGCUGUUAUAUUCUUGUAACAUAGGACAAUACACCUGACCCACAGCUGUGCCUGUGUCACCAAAAAAAUGCAGGUGCCAUUAGAGAAAAAAAAUGGAGUAUUACUGUAGUAAAAUGUGUUUUUUCUCCAUGUGCAAUCACGAACUAAACUUAAGUCUGUCCUCCUUGCAAAGAUUUAUAAUAAGACAUAAGAAAUGCCAGCAAGACAGCCAGACUUUUCUCAGUGGUGGCCAGUGACAGGAUGAGAGACAAUGGACACAAACCGAAACACAGGAAAUUCUGUCUGAACUUAAGGAAAAUACAUCUUCAAUGCAAGGGUGACUGAGCACUGGAACAGGUUGCCCAGAGAGGCUGUAGAGUCUCCAUCCUUAGAAAUAUUCAAAACCUGUCUGGACAGGGUCCUGGGCAACAUGCUGUAGGUGACCCUGCUCAAGCAGGAGGGUUGGACCAGAUAAUCUCCAGAGGUCCCUUCUAACCCCAGCUACUCUGUGAUUCCAUGUGAUUCAUUGAUUUAUACAAGUUUUUUUGUAAAAAGAUAUUCCCUUUUUUUGGCCAGGCAGAUGUAUGAAUAGUAAGAACAGAAUAGCUCUGCUUGUGCUAACUAGAAAAUCAGCAGCUGUAGAAAAUCAGGCUAUUUUUCUGUCUACCUUUGAAUGAAGAUUUUGCAGUCUUGUGCAAAUAUGGGACCACUGCUGUACUUCCACUGCAAGAAUUAUAGCAUCCAUUAAAGCUGUGCCUCAAGUCUAAUUUAUGAGCUACAAAUUUAUUGUAUCAGAUGUUGUUAACCAAAAAAA
Dromaius novaehollandiae (emu) is the source of this 5003-nucleotide long non-coding RNA. RefSeq lists it as uncharacterized. The record is from RefSeq and is a predicted model, not a curated record. NCBI's taxonomy places the organism in Eukaryota, Metazoa, Chordata, Aves, Casuariiformes, Dromaiidae. The transcript has 3 exons.